This 744-nucleotide long non-coding RNA is filed under the name Nicotiana benthamiana. RNAcentral's name for it is "long non-coding RNA (NBEN_LNC015953)". The record is from RNAcentral. Lineage: Eukaryota; Viridiplantae; Streptophyta; Magnoliopsida; Solanales; Solanaceae.
CGACAAUCAUUUUCCUCCUCCAACCACCAUAACCACUGCCCGAGAAGGGAGUGGACACAAGAGAGACUCCAGGAACAUCAGAGGAGUAAACAAAAAGGGGGCUGGUAGAGUCCACUGAGGAGAUACUAGCAUUCAUAUUAGAAGUCAUGAACAAUAAUCAGUUUGAAAUAAAAAAAAACAGUCUCAGAACCCACAUGCAAAACAAAAAACACUUAGAACAGGGAUAGAGUUACCCUCCUUCUUCGCGACCGGAGAAGAGCAUCCUUCAAUCGCCAGAUAAAACCCUAGGUCCAAAACCCUAGGUCCAACCACCGGACCGUACUGGAAACUUGCCGGAAUAGGGUCAAGGAUGUCGGAAAAUCACCCAAAACAUCCACCGAGUGAGGAUCGAGCCAUCGGAUAGCAGUAAAACCGUAGGUUCAACCACCAGAAACCCUAGAAACUGGAGAGUCACCGGAAAAAGGUCAGGGAUGUCGGAAAAUCACCCAAAACAUCCACUGAGUGAAGAUCGAAGCAUCAAACAGCAGUAAAAGCUCCAAUUAUCCGUUCAGUACACAUCGUUCUCUUGGUAAAUAAAAUCUCUCACAAAUAUCCGAGAAAAACCUUCAAUAAAACGUCCAACGCAAUCGAUAACAAGUAACGGAGAAGAAUCCGAGGAUCAUCCCGCUUUGAUACCAUGAAAACGUACAGAUUGAAGGCAAAGUGAUGAAGAACAUAGUGAGAAAGAGAGAGAGAGAAGUUGAG